GCCUUCGUCUGCGGGUAGAGCUGGAACAACAACACAGAGGGUUGAACACGCUGCUCACCGUUAAACCAACACACGGUAAUUGAGCCCUGUCUGGUCUCUCCAUGCCGUAUCCAGCAUCGGGGUUGGACUUCACCUUCUCAGCUCAGCUAAACUAGGUGACGGCAAAAUGCCGAACCCAAAGCUUCCAAAUGGAAGUCCACAAACCAACGGGUGACAUCAUAAUGACUACGCCCACUUCUAGAUAUAGUCUGUGGUGCAAAUACAGUGAGAAUUAACCGAGACGUCUUCUCUCAAGUACAUUUGCUUUCUUUCAUAUUGUUGUUGAAAACCCACAUUAGAUAAAUCAUUUUUCAAAGUACUUGGUAACACUUUAUAAUAACUACACGCUGUGAAGCAUUACUUAAGUAUAAGUAAACACUUAAUUCCUUAUUUAUAAAAGCAUUGUUCCACCCUUUAUAAAUGAUGGAUUCACCAUGUGUACAUGAAGUUUUAUAUAAUGCUUCAAAGCCUGCAGUUAUUAUAAAGUGUUACCAAGUAUUCUUGUUAUUCUUUAAAACAUGGCUCCAGGGAAGACUAUUUACAAGUUUAAUAUUUAUUUUAGUGUUAGCCCUUUUGUUGCAUAAUUUGGAGCCUUCGUCCAAUUACUACUGCAUUCUUCAGUGGAAGGUGUCCCCUGGAAACCGUCCCCUCCAAUGGUUCCAGGCUCGGAGCUGCUGACCAUCAGAGGACGUUGAGACGUUUCCUGUUCGUCGGGGUCCAGAAAGAGAGAACUCGCGAGCGUCGCUGAGACGCUGGUUGACAGUGUCAGUGGGAGCCGGAGGGAUGAGCCCAGCUCAGACUGAGCCAACUAAUGCCAUUAGCGGUUCUAAUACUAUUGUUCUGUUCUCCCAGGCUAAUGCCAUUAUACUGUCUCCAGUGCCGCGGGCCCUUUCAGCACACAGACCCCCGAGCCAGACAUUUGGACCAAGUUUACGCCUUAUCUUUGAUGUGGACAAAACACACACAAUCGCUGUGAGCCCAAUGUGGUCCGACCAGGGAGGGGGGGCAGCCAUUGAUGCUUUUCUCUGAACGGGCCUGAACAACCACAAUAGCCCAGUGUGUGUACAUAUAUACACAUGUGUGUGUGUGUGUGUGUGCGUGUGGAAGCGCUCUCUCAUGCACUCACAAUGCUCCAUUGUCCCGUGGACCGCAACAGUAAUUUAUGUAAAGAUUCUCUCUCUUCGUCUCAUCCAUCCCUUUUCUCCAUUGCUUUUGUUGCUCUCCCAUUUCUCUCUCUCCAAUCCGGCCCCUCUCGUCCCUUUCUCCCCCCCCCUCCCCUUCCUGUCCUGUCAGACUGUGUCUAUCUUUUGCUCUUUCUCUCUCUCUGUCACUCCUCCACGCUCUACCUCCGUCUGCCUGCCUCUUUUUUCCCUCUCCUCACUGUCGCCGCGUAUUGAUCUCCAUUUCUUCCUCCUACACUUUGCUGUCUCUUUGUUGUCACUCUUCCAUACCAUGCAUUCACUUGACUCUUUCUUUCUGCCUUGUUUCAUAUCAUCCUCUUCUUUGUUGGACUGACACGAGAAUUAGUAAAAAAGUUAAAUAAAAAACAAAAAAAGACAGUCGACUGAUUUUACAGCCAGUCUUUCCCUUCCUUUUCUCUCUCCAGUGGUUCGAGGGGAGGUGAACACAGGGGAGUGUAAUGGGGAGAGAAGAUACCAUCACUAAAAUUGUUUAACAGCCUACAGUUUUAAGAAAAUAUAAAAUGAUUGUCACGCAGCGUGAAUUUAUGUAAAACAUUAAUGCUAUAAGCUGCAGUUAGCCGACUCUCAACGCCUCGUAAAACACACUCAACCUUUUAUUUCUCUCCCCAGCCGCCACACUUCCUCCAACACAGGUGUCUACUCAGUCUGAAAUGUUUACAUCGUUUCUUUUUUUUGAGGAUAGAAAUGGAAUGAACAAAAAUGUUUUACAAGACAGUUUGUGAUAUUCCUCUUUGCAUAUUAAAGGCAAAUCUUUAGCCAUAUAUUGAACCUCAGUAGUGUUUGAGAUAUGACAGAAUCUUAAACACUAAUGUAUCUGCAAAUAUAAAUAAAUGACUAAUUACUAUAAAUAAGAACUCCUGAUGAAGCAGAUUGUGUGUUUUUAGUGUUUAACUUCUACUUAUGGUCCCCUAAGGAAGGGAAAUUCCCACUGUUUUCAAAGAUUAAACUUAGAUUUAUGCUUGUUGAGUCAUGAA
Pseudoliparis swirei is the source of this 2215-nucleotide long non-coding RNA. RefSeq lists it as uncharacterized. The transcript is spliced from 2 exons. Lineage: Eukaryota; Metazoa; Chordata; Actinopteri; Perciformes; Liparidae. The record is from RefSeq and is a predicted model, not a curated record.